This is a long non-coding RNA of Canis lupus familiaris (dog), 711 nucleotides long. RefSeq lists it as uncharacterized. The record is from RefSeq and is a predicted model, not a curated record. The transcript has 4 exons. NCBI's taxonomy places the organism in Eukaryota, Metazoa, Chordata, Mammalia, Carnivora, Canidae.
CUCACACGUUUAACAAAAGGAUCAUUCUAUUUUGCAGAAAGAUAGUACAAAAAUUUUUUUUGGUACAAUAUUAGCAUCUGGUUCUGACGUCGCCUUCCCGGGGUCAGUCGGAACUGCAAGUGUCCUACUGGAAUCAGGAAAAGAAAUAACCACAGAGAAUCAUUGGUGAUUCAACAAGACAUGCGGUGCCGUUCGCAGGCUAUCAAGUGCACACACCUCCUCCAUACAGGAUGUGAAGAAUGUUUGAAUGGGCAAAAGUAAACACUGGCUUGGGGAAAAACAACUUGCUCCUUCUGCUGAACUCAGAGAAGAAGAUCAUUCGCUGAACAGUACCGAGUGCUGCUGUUGGCCCACAAACAGUGUUACGGAGAAAACCAGCACUGUGUACUGAAGAGAAAAGGAAUAAGACUUGAUCCAUGGCACUUAAGGGCCUCCUAAACCCAGAGGCACAAAAAAGGCAGAACCAACCCUGGCAAAAGUGGAACAUGCUAUACUUAAGCCCAUAUGGAAAGAUGAACCCAAAUGUUCCUCCUGUCGUCUGAGUGAAGGAGCAGCGCCUGCCUCUAAUUGGAACAGUGAAGAGAUUUGUUUUUCCUAUUGCGCAGGAUGAGAUAAAGACAUGGAACAAACACACUUACCUCUUGACUAAGAAUCUAGUAAGGCAAAUUAGUUGGCUUCAAUUUGGUUCCCAGAACAUUAAUAUAAACCUUG